AGAGUUUGAUCAUGGCUCAGAACGAACGCUGGCGGCGUGCUUAACACAUGCAAGUCGAACGGGUUUAUUGGAUGUAGCAAUACAUUCAAUAGAUUAGUGGCGCACGGGUGAGUAACACGUAGGCAACCUACCCUUCAGUGGGGGACAACAGAGGGAAACUCCUGCUAAUACCGCAUACGGCCUUGUACUGGGAUGUACGAGGAGAAAGGAUUUAUUCGCUGAGGGAUGGGCCUGCGGCCUAUCAGGUAGUUGGUGGGGUAAAGGCCUACCAAGCCUGCGACGGGUAGCCGGACUGAGAGGUCGACCGGCCACACUGGAACUGAGACACGGUCCAGACUCCUACGGGAGGCAGCAGUGGGGAAUAUUGCACAAUGGGGGAAACCCUGAUGCAGCGACGCCGCGUGGAGGAUGACGGCCUUCGGGUUGUAAACUCCUUUUGUCAGGGACAAUGGUGAUGGUACCUGACGAAUAAGCCACGGCUAACUCUGUGCCAGCAGCCGCGGUAAGACAGAGGUGGCGAGCGUUGUUCGGAAUUACUGGGCUUAAAGGGCGCGUAGGCGGUGGUGUAAGUCUGGGGUGGAAUGCUACAGCUCAACUGUAGAGCUGCCUUGG
This 612-nucleotide ribosomal RNA is filed under the name uncultured Magnetobacterium sp. RNAcentral's name for it is "bacterial SSU rRNA". It matches the Rfam family "Bacterial small subunit ribosomal RNA", at positions 8 to 629 of the family's 1533-position model. Lineage: Bacteria; Pseudomonadati; Nitrospirota; Thermodesulfovibrionia; Thermodesulfovibrionales; Magnetobacteriaceae (SeqCode). The record is from RNAcentral.